RNAcentral lists this ribosomal RNA (215 nucleotides) under uncultured fungus. RNAcentral describes it as "partial small subunit ribosomal RNA". The stretch from base 88 to 215 matches the Rfam family "Eukaryotic small subunit ribosomal RNA", at positions 735 to 864 of the family's 1831-position model. Lineage: Eukaryota; Fungi. The record is from RNAcentral.
GGCCUGGCCGGGCGGUCUGCCUAACGGUAUGUACUGUCUGGCUGGGUCUUACCUCUUGGUGAGCUGGCAUGCCCUUCACUGGGUGUGUCAGGGAACCAGGACUUUUACCUUGAGAAAAUUAGAGUGUUCAAAGCAGGCUAAUGCCUGAAUACAUUAGCAUGGAAUAAUAAAAUAGGACGUGUGGUUCUAUUUUGUUGGUUUCUAGAAUCGCCGUA